GGAGCCAUAGGGAGGGAUACCAAUGCGGCCUUAGGAAAAGAAACCUGUUAUGGGAAUCUUGGAGAUUGGCGACCAUCCUAAUGACUUA
Molecule: non-coding RNA, 88 nt
Organism: Equus caballus (horse)
Lineage: Eukaryota; Metazoa; Chordata; Mammalia; Perissodactyla; Equidae
Source: Rfam